UUGGAAUCAUAUUCUAGGUGACAAAUUCCAGUUCUGUUAUUUCUUCUCUUUAUUGAAUCUAAGACAGUGUGAGUUGUAAGAUGGUCAUUAUUUUACAUAUUAUAGAGAAGGGGAAAAUCAGCCUGUUAUUUUGUGUUCCCACCAGUAAAAAAACAUAUCCCAAUGUGUAAGAGGUUAACAUGUGAUGGAAUACACUUCUUAGAAUCACUCAAAUGCAGUACAGUAUGUGUCUUAACAUCUUUGAAGUGUUAUUUAUACAUUUAGUAAAAACUGGGUAUAAAAAUUUCUCAUAAAUGUUUGCUUCCUUGUCAUUCUUUACCAGGUACAGAGCAUGUGGAAGUGGAAAGGCUAAGUUGCAUGUUAUACUGCUCGAGACAAGCAAGUCUUUUCCCUACAAACCGCUUCUGUCCCCUCAUGCUGUAUCUUGUGGAGCAGCAGCUGCUCCAGAAGAUGAACAAACCACACAUCCUCAGUCUGGAGAGUAUGUCCAGUCUCGCCAAGCCUGGUCUGUUUUAAGUGUUUCAACAUAGCUUUGAAAUAAAUGCUAAUCAAAUACUGUCUUCAAGACUGCGGUGAGAGGGAGUGAGAGUCUGUGAUGUGUGUUAUGCAUUUUCUGCUGGAAUCCUCCGCGGUUGGAUGUUGCCCUCCCAGGAUCCUGGAAAGAAGAGCCUCUUUGGGGAAUGUUGUUCCUUACUGAGUGACAGCUUCUCUUCCCAAAUCAAACUAGAUAGUGGAAUUCACAUCUCUUCAUGACCAAGAUUACCAUGAAACACACAAAGUGAAAUUAUUCUAUGCACUACAUGUGUGUGUGUGUGUGUCUGUGUGUGCAUGUGGGUGUGCAAUGAUUACCACAUACAGGAGCAGCUGGAGGCUACAACAUAAUUUUGAACACCACUUUCCUGACUGUUAGACAAGCAUUUGUCUUGUAAAUCAGAAGGAAAAUGAAAUAACCUACUAGGGAAAGGUUUUACAAAGAUAGGUGAAUAACCUACAUCUAUACUGUGGAAGAAAAGUAGAACUCUUCUCAAGAUAGAAAUUUAAAAAUAAGUGAUAAGGGGCUGGGGAUUUAGCUCAGCAGCAUGAGCACUUGCCUUGCAAGCAGGGGGUCAUGAGUUCAAACUCCAGUACUGAUAACAAAAAAAUAAAUAAAUAAAUAAAUAAAUAAAUAAGUGAUAGGAUCUGAAAAAUCUUUUUUAAGAAUAUUCAUCAGGAACUUGUGGAACAAAUUUGAGUUUCUUAUAAUCAAGGAUGACUUACAGUUCCCCAGGACCUCUGAUACCUGGUGUCAGCCUUAAUCCAGAGAUAAGCGGGCGACCAUCGGAACCACAGGAAGUUCAGCCUGCACCCUGCAAAUACAGAAUGCAGGGGGACGAUGUUGCACAAAGUGAAGUGAUUACAAAAAUCAAAGAAAGUAGAAUUUCCACACAGCAGGACCAUUAAUGGAAAUGCAUGGGUUUUUUUUUUUUUUUUUCUUAUCUCACAAGAGGGUUUCUCAACCUUAGCACUACUGACAUUUAGUGACAGGUGUCUUGUGCUGUGUGUUGAAGGAUACUUUGCAGCAUUUCUGGCCUUGGAUCAGCAAGAGGUAGUGGUCUUCCACUCCCUUUUGACUAUGCCACCCCCAGUGACCCUCUAUCAAUCCAGGUAACUGGGUGGCCAGAGAAACAAAACCCAACCAUAUGCUGUCUAAAAGAAACCCAUCUAACCCAAAAGGAUACUCACAGACUGAAAGUCAAAGGGUCAAAAACAAUACUUCAUACAACAGGAACAAAAAAAAAAGCGGGAAUAGCAUUCUGUUUGCAAACAAUGUGAACUUGAAACCAAUAAUGAUCAGAAGGGAUAAAGAAGAUCACUACAUACUGGUUAGGGGAAAACUUCAAGAGGAAGAGAUAACUAUCUUAAAUAUAUCUGCACCAAACUCCAGAGCACCCAGUUGUAUAAAAUAAGUAUCAAAAGAAAUGAAAAACCAAAUUAGCAGUAAGAUAAUUAUAACAGGAGACCUUAACACACCAUUGACACCAAGGGACAGAUCGACCACACAGAAAAUCAGCAAAAAAAUAAAAGAACAGAAUCAUACCUGUGAACAAAUGGACUUAAUAGACAUAUACAGAGUAUUCUGCCCAACAACAACAGAAUACACAUUCUUCUCAGCAGUACAUGAAUCAUUCUCUAAAAUAGACCAUAUAUUAGCUCACAGAAACUAUUUAAAUAAAUACAAAAGAGUUGAAAUUUUCCCUUUCAUGUUAUUGGAUCAUAGCACUAUAAAAUUAGAAAUUAAUGUUAAAAGAUACUGCAAAAACCCCACAAACACAUGGAAACUUAAUAACACACUCUUGAGUAAUCAGUGCAUCAGAGGGGAAAUUAAACAAUACCUAAAAGCAAACAAAAACACAAAUACAACUUACCAGAAUCUGUGAGAUGCAAUGAAAGCUGUCCUCAGAGGAAAAUUUAUUGUACUGAGUUCUCACAUCAGGAAAACAGAACAAAUACAAAAAAAUAACCUUAUGUUACACUUCAAACAUCUACAAAAAGAAGAGCAAGUCAAGCCCAAAGCCAAAACAAGAGAGGAAAUUACAAAAAUCAGACCAGAAAUGAAUGCAAUAGAGACUAAGAAAACAACCCAAAGAAUCAAUGAAAGAGUUGAUUCUUUGAAAGAAUAAAUAAAAUCAAUAAGCCUCUAGUCAACCGUACUAAAAAAAAGGGGAAGAAAAAGGUGAAAUUCAUGGAAUAGGAAAUGAAAAAGGCCAAAUCACUAGAGACUCUGUAGAAAUACGGAAGAUCAUCAACACCUAUUUCUAAUACCUCUACUCUCAAAGGUUUGAUAACACAAGAGAAAUAGACAGAUUCCUAGAAACAUAUGAAGUAUCAAAGCUAGGUCAAGAAGAAGUGGAACUGCUGAAUUUCUAUUAAUGAAACUGAAAACAUAAUUAAGUCCUUACCUAUAUAGAACAGCCUAGGCCCAGAUGGAUUCACUGCAGAAUUCUGCAAGAAAUACAAAAAAGACUUAACGCCAACAUUCCUCAAAAGCUUCAAUGAAAUUGAAAGGGGAGCAAUUCUUCCUAAGUCAUUCCUGGAAGCAAAUAUUGCUCUACUACCAAAACCUGAGAAAGACCCAGCUAAAAAAGAGAACUAUAGACCAAUCUCCCUAAUGAACACAGAUACAAAACUCCUCAAUAAAAUAUUGGCAAAAUAGGGUGCAACAAAUCAUCAAGAAGAUUAUAUACCAUGACCAAGUGGGACUCAUUCCAGGCAUGCAGGGAUGGUUAAACAUACGUAAAUCAAUAAAUGUAACCCACCAUAUCAAUAAAGCCAAAAGUAAGAAUCAUAUGAUCAUUUCUAUAGAUGCUAAAGUUUUGAUAAGGUCCAACAUUCAUUUAUGAUAAGAACUUUACAGAAAAUUGGAAUGGAUGGUCUUUACCUCAACAUAAUAAAGGCCAUCAAUGACAAACCAACAGCCAGUAUCAUACUAAGUGGCCAAAAACUGAAGGUCUUUACUUUAAAAUCAGGCACAAGACAAGUAUGUCCUUUAUCACCACUCCUAUUUAAUAUAGUACUGGAAAUACUAGCCAGAGCAAUUAGACAAGAGAGAAAUAAAAGAGGUAAAGAUAGGAAAAGAAGAAGUUAUUAUUGUUUGCACAUGACAUGAUACUCUACAUAGAAGACACCCAAAACUCCAUUGAAAGACUCUUAGAUAUAAUAAAUAAAUUCAGUAAUAUAGCUGGAUACAAUAUCAAUACUCAAAAAUCAAUAGCAUUCCUAUACACUAACAAUAAAAUCACAAAGAGAGAAAUAAGAGAAGCCACAACCUUCAUGCUAGCAACCAAAAAAUUGAAAUACUUAGGAAUUCCUCUCAUGAAAUACAUGAAAGACCUAUACAGGGAAAAUUAUAAUACACAGAAAAAAGAAACUGAAGACAAUCUCAGAAAAUGGAAACACAUCCUUUGCUCAUGGAUAGGAAGAACAAACAUUGUGAAAAUGGCCAUUCUCCCAAAACUCUUAUACAUAUUCAAUGCAAUCCCAAUAAAAAUACCAUCAACAUAUCUCAUAGAUCUAGAGAAAUCACUCCCAAAAUUCAUCUGGAGCAAGAAGAGACCUAGAAUAGCAAAGACAGUUCUAAGCAGCAAACGCAAGGUAGGAGGCAUCACAAUCCCUGACUUGAAGUUAUACUACAAAGCAACAGUAGUAAAAUCAACAAAGUACUGAAAUCAAAACAGAGCCGAAGAUCAAUGGAAUAGAUUAGAAGGUACAACCACAACUACAAACACACUCAACCACCUUAUCUUUGAUAAAGGAGUCAAACAAUGGAAGAACGACAGUCUCUUUAAUAAAUGGUGUUGGAAAAGCUGGCACUCCACAUGCUGAAAACUAAAACUAGACCCAUGUCUGUCAUCAUGUACUAAAUUAAAAUCUAAAUGGAUCAAAGAUCUAAAUAUUAAAACAGAAACACUAAAUCUAUUGGACAAAUUUGGUAAAAACCUUGAAGACAUAGGAGUAGACAGAGAAUUCAUGAACAGGACUCAAACCACCUGGGAAAUACUUCCCAGAAUCAAUAACUGGGAUCACCUCUUAUUAAAAUGUUUCUGCAUGUCAAAAGAAAUCUCCAGCAUAGUGAAAAGAAAACCCACAAACUGGGAAAAAAUCUUAGUGAACUGUCCCCCCAGACAAAGGAAUCCUUUCUAAAACAUAUAAAGAAUUUUUUAAAAAAUCAGACCCCCAAAAUUCAAAGAUCCAGUCCAAAAAUGGGCAUCUGAGAUGAAUACACACUUCUCAGAUGAAGAAAUAUAAAUGGCAAAUAAAUACAUGACAAAAUGUUCAUCAUCAUUGGUUAUUAGGGAAAUGCAAAUCAAAACCACACUGAGAUUUCAUCUCACUCCUAAAAGAAUAGCCAGGAUCAAAAAAACCACCAAGACAAAUGCUGAAGAGGCUGUGGGGAAAAAGGAACUCUCCUGCACUGUUGGUGGGAGUGUAGACUGGUGCAACCAUUGUGAAGGUCAGUCUGGAGAUUUCUCAAAAAGCUGGGAUUGAAAGUCCCAUUUGUUCCAGCUAUUUCACUUCUAGGCAUAUUCCCAGAAGAACUGAAAACAUCGUACCACAGUGAUAUAUGUGCACCCAUGUUUAUAGCAGCACAAUUUGUAGUAGCAAGAUCUUGGAAACAACCUAAGUGUCCAUCAACUGAGGAAUGGAUAAAAAAGAUGUGGUAUUUUUAUACAAUGGAGUACUACUCAGCUAUAAAGAAGGAUCACAUUGAGAUAUUUAUAAAUAAAUGGAGGUUGAGACCAUACUCAUAAGUGAAAUACAUCAAACUCACAUGUAUGAACACCAAAGUUUCCCUAGUGUAAGAAAUGAUAUAAAUACAUAAAAGUAUGUGGUAAUUCCCAUUAUAUGGCUUUGAAGCCUUAUAAAGUUUUCACUCAUUUACUGGAAUGGUUUUAUUCUGGGCUGCUUGAUAUUAUUGUCUGUGAUGAUAUGAAUAGCUAUUUUGAAGAAAACAAGACAUCAUAAUAGCUAGUGCUGAUUUAAUAUCAUUUUGUUUUGAAGUUCCAUCAAACUGUUGAUCUUCUGUCUCCAUUGCUUUUAUCAUGUUGUAUAUUCUUGGAUUUUAUUAUAUGUGAUAGUAUAAACAAAAUUUUUAUAGGUAAAGAGAUAAUAUAGAAACCAUUGUUGAUUUUCUGUUAGCUGGUUCUAAAUACCUUGUAAUGCUUUCAUCCUCUUGAGUGGUUUCACACUGUCUUGAUAUGUUUGAUGCUAUAGUAUACAAAGUUAUAUUCAAAUAUUUCAAGAAAAGAGACACUAUGGUAACCACUAUUAAGUCGAGUUAUCUUGUCGUGAAACACUAUGUGGCUUAAAUUGUUCUGUUCUGACCUGUAUUGUUAUGUUGUUAUGUCCUCUUUUAUCUCAAUCUCCCCCUUUUUAAAAAUUUAUUUACUUUUGAUCAUUAUUUUUUAAUUAAGGGAAAAAUUUUUAAAAAUUAGCAGUAUAUAUUAUGGUAACUUUUUUGAUUUCCUGUUAACUUGAGUUGAAGCCCUGUAUUGCUCUCACCAUCUUGUUUUGACUGAUUUUACUCUAUUCUGUUCUGUUUGAUAAUAUCAAUUUUGAGGGUACAGGCAAUUACUUUGAAGGCAAUAAGAUUCACUAUGAUGCCCAUUCUGCUUUGACUAUUAUCUUCUUUUGAAGUUCCGUAAUGUCUCCAAUGUUUAGGUUUUAUUGGUUUUGUUCUAUAUUGUUUUUUACAAUUUUAUUAUACCUGAUGAUAUAGGCAAUUCUUUUUAAGGUAGCAAGAGGCAUUAUGGUAACCAUUGUUGAUUACAUUGUAUUCUGUUUUUACAUCAUGUACUAUGUUCAUCCUUUGUUUUGACUGACUGCUUUGUUUUGUCAUCUUUGGUUUUACUCUCUUUCAAAAAAAAAAAGUAAUAAGAACUGUGGGAGUAAUAAAGCCCAAAAUGUGUAAAUGUUAUUGUAAAAAAGAGAGGAAAAGAAAGUGCUCUAAAGGAUACAACUGCAAGUGUGUUUAGGUGUGUAAGAUAGAUGACCAUAUUACUUAGUUUUUGUUGGAUCAUUGAACACAACUGUUUGCAGUCUCACUGUUUAAUGUCCACUUUGUAUGCUUUAAUUUUGUAACUUGAACAACUAUUUCUAAAAUGGCUAUGUAAUCUAUUAAC
This is a long non-coding RNA of Cavia porcellus (domestic guinea pig), 6659 nucleotides long. RefSeq lists it as uncharacterized. Lineage: Eukaryota; Metazoa; Chordata; Mammalia; Rodentia; Caviidae. The transcript has 3 exons. The record is from RefSeq and is a predicted model, not a curated record.